Molecule: ribosomal RNA, 253 nt
Filed under: uncultured bacterium
Lineage: Bacteria
Description: partial 16S ribosomal RNA
Rfam family: Bacterial small subunit ribosomal RNA
Source: RNAcentral
UACGUAGGGGGCAAGCGUUAAUCGGAAUUACUGGGCGUAAAGCGUGCGCAGGCGGUGAUGUAAGACAGUUGUGAAAUCCCCGGGCUCAACCUGGGAACUGCAUCUGUGACUGCAUCGCUGGAGUGCGGCAGAGGGGGAUGGAAUUCCGCGUGUAGCAGUGAAAUGCGUAGAUAUGCGGAGGAACACCGAUGGCGAAGGCAAUCCCCUGGGCCUGCACUGACGCUCAUGCACGAAAGCGUGGGGAGCAAACAGG